This 440-nucleotide ribosomal RNA is filed under the name uncultured bacterium. RNAcentral describes it as "partial 16S ribosomal RNA". It matches the Rfam family "Bacterial small subunit ribosomal RNA", at positions 355 to 806 of the family's 1533-position model. The record is from RNAcentral.
UGGGGAAUAUUGCACAAUGGGCGAAAGCCUGAUGCAGCGACGCCGCGUGCGGGAUGAAGGCCUUCGGGUUGUAAACCGCUUUUAAUUGGGAGCAAGCGAGAGUGAGUGUACCUUUUGAAUAAGCACCGGCUAACUACGUGCCAGCAGCCGCGGUAAUACGUAGGGUGCAAGCGUUAUCCGGAAUUAUUGGGCGUAAAGAGCUCGUAGGCGGUUUGUCACGCCUGGUGUGAAAGUCCAUCGCUUAACGGUGGAUCUGCGCCGGGUACGGGCAGGCUAGAGUGCAGUAGGGGAGAUUGGAAUUCCCGGUGUAACGGUGGAAUGUGUAGAUAUCGGGAAGAACACCAAUGGCGAAGGCAGAUCUCUGGGCUGUUACUGACGCUGAGGAGCGAAAGCAUGGGGAGCGAACAGGAUUAGAUACCCGUGGUAGUCCAUGCCGUAAA